Molecule: long non-coding RNA, 495 nt
Organism: Bactrocera neohumeralis
Lineage: Eukaryota; Metazoa; Arthropoda; Insecta; Diptera; Tephritidae
Exons: 3
Source: RefSeq, a predicted model, not a curated record
GAAAGAAAUGUCUAGAAAAAGGAAACAUCAACAAAUGUCGGAAGUGAAUCUCGAACUCGAAGACGAUUUUGGUAUGGACUAUGAAGAAGAUAUUGGUGACAGUGAGCCUGAAGUAGCGGAAACCAAUGUGAAAAAAAAUACAAAACAAACUGCUUCAACUUGUAUUAACAGGGGAAGAAAACAUUUUCACACCGCGAUUGCUUUCAGCACUUGAUAGCGCCAAAGUAAGCGAUGGAAAGGCGAUGCACAUUCUGAUGGCGACUGCAGAAGCAUUGGGCCAUUGCACUAGCGACUUGGUAGUCAAUCGUUCUACUCUCCAUAGACUGAGGGAAGAGCAUCGCAGAAAAGAAACACAGAGGAUUCAAGAGAGUUUUAUUGACAAACUAAGUGAUACACAAGCAAUGGUCGUCCACUGGGAUGGUAAAGUAUUGCCAGAUCUAAUUGGAAAAAUAAAAGUUGAGCGAAUUGCAGUGCUUGUUAGUUAUAAUGGCGAAU